RNAcentral lists this non-coding RNA (31 nucleotides) under Mus musculus (house mouse). Lineage: Eukaryota; Metazoa; Chordata; Mammalia; Rodentia; Muridae. The record is from RNAcentral.
UUCACUGGUGAUGAUGGAAUCUGCAUGAAUG